AGCUGGAGAUUGAGGUAAUAAUCAACCAUGCCUACAGGAUGAAGCCUCUAUACAAAUCCCUAAAGUACAGGGGUCCAGAGAGCUUCCAGGUCGGUAAGCUCAUGGAGGUGCUGGGAGGGUGGUGCCCUGGAGAGGAAGCUCCCCGCACCCUUCCCACGUGUCUUCCCUAGGCAUCACUUCCAUCCGGCUGUUCCUGAGUUGUAUCCUUUUAUAACAAAACAGCAAUCUAAAUCAGAUAUUGGGGAAGAACAUGCAUGCAUUAUGAAACAGACAAAAAUGCAUUAUGGCUGUCAUGGAAAGCAGCCCCUGUCAACUCCUAUGUGCACUGGACAGGAGGAAGAAUUGCCUGCAGCAACUUCAACCACAGGAUGGGGACUGCAGAGGACAGAUCAGCAGCUCAUUUCCUCUGUGCAUUUUGGCCGUUAGACCUGUGUAUGUUUAAAAAAAUAAAAAGCCAGGGCUCA
Molecule: long non-coding RNA, 464 nt
Organism: Lemur catta (Ring-tailed lemur)
Lineage: Eukaryota; Metazoa; Chordata; Mammalia; Primates; Lemuridae
Exons: 2
Source: RefSeq, a predicted model, not a curated record